CGCACAGUUACAUAUAAGUUUUUAGUAGUUAGAUAAAAUGCAUUUCAAGGUCUUAAUUUUGUUACUAAAUUGUUUAAUAUUUGCUGAAUCCGUUGUCGUGAGCGAGGAAAUGUUACGCGACUUAUACAAUGACCUUGUAAGAAUGGAGAACACAAAUAUAAAAGACGUUAUAAGUUAUGAGCAGUUUAAGUCGAUUGUCGUAGAGUCUGUCGAAGUGGAUGGUGACAUCGAAGAGGAUGCCGACUCAUCCUAUGAUCUCCAAAUAAACAAUCCAUUUGGUCCAUAAAUAUUAACGGUUUGUUAUAAUUUCAACC
Molecule: long non-coding RNA, 314 nt
Organism: Adelges cooleyi (spruce gall adelgid)
Lineage: Eukaryota; Metazoa; Arthropoda; Insecta; Hemiptera; Adelgidae
Exons: 3
Source: RefSeq, a predicted model, not a curated record